GUUUGUUUUCCCAAACAGCCAAAGAGCUCUGCAAGGUGAAUAUGACACAUAGAUUGGCUAAAGUGUGGGUCUCAUGAGCUCCUGAAACAAAAAAUGGAACCACAUCCAAACCCCAUACCUGAAAGAAGUAGAUUCCCUACGUGUUCCAAAAUUGGGGGCAAUUGCCUGAAAAGGGGGAAAUGGAAGCUGGAGAGUGGUUGAAUCUAUCCAGAAGCCAGUUGACAAGGAAGCCUGAAAAUGUAACCUUGCAGCGCCCAGUUCCCUACAAUAUAGAGCAAGAAGCAGAGAAUGAAGAUAAAAGAAAAUCAUAAGUGACCAGCAGACUUAGAAUCACUGUUUUAAUCCCUUCAUCAAUUGUAUACAUGAUUGCUUCAAUUAUCUCCAGAUGAAGAAGACUUCUCAAAUUUCCUUACCAACAAAUGUCAUAGUCACACUCUCAUAGCCAGGAAGUUAUCUUUCUGUUAUUAAAAAAUUAUUUUAGAAGUUAUUUAUUUUUGUAUACAAUGGGUAAUUACUGUCUUGUGUAGUUUUGUCAUCAUUAUAUUUUUAAAACUGUAGGAAUACAUUUGCCAUACUUAUUUUAGUGUUGAUCUUUGAUGUUCAAAAAAAAAUUUAUUUUAAUGUUUAGAUUUUUAUGUAUUUCCCUGUUUCAAAAUUAUCUGAUAAGAAUAUAUCAUCUGUUUCCUACUUUUUCUUAAAAUUCAUGGAAGAGCAUUUUUCCUCCUCCAGCUAUAUACACCAGAACUUAAGAAUCUUCAUUCAAUGUUUUUAACAAAGUCUUAUGAAGGUAGAAGAAAAUACAAUGUUAAGGCUUUGAAAAGGAUUAAAUUUCUUUAAUAAGUUACUCAAUAAUGUAAAAGUAGAAUAAUAGUAUUUAGUCUACUUUCAAAUGGUAUACCAAGUGCCUUUUAUGUUCUGACUCAUGUUCUCUUAGGUCAUUUUUAUCUAUCAGCCACUUUUGUAGCAGCCAGCUUCAUGAAUGUGGAACUGAGAAACACCUUAUCUCAGUAUCAGCCUCUUCCUUCCUGGUACUUCUUUGAUCCUCAAUAUGGGAGUUUGAAGUAAUCUUGGUCACUCAUGCAUGUACAACCUAAGUGUGGUAAGGAGGUAAUAUAGAUCCUUGGACAAGCCUACACCAAUGGAAAGCAGUA
Molecule: long non-coding RNA, 1151 nt
Filed under: Homo sapiens (human)
Lineage: Eukaryota; Metazoa; Chordata; Mammalia; Primates; Hominidae
Description: HSALNT0031512
Source: RNAcentral